ACUUGAUCUCAAAUCAGGCAGGACUACCCGCUGAACUUAAGCAUAUC
Molecule: ribosomal RNA, 47 nt
Filed under: Mallocybe myriadophylla
Lineage: Eukaryota; Fungi; Basidiomycota; Agaricomycetes; Agaricales; Inocybaceae
Also listed under: 1 other name
Description: partial 28S ribosomal RNA
Source: RNAcentral